UACGGAGGGGGCGAGCGUUAUUCGGAAUUAUUGGGCGUAAAGGGCGCGUAGGCGGCUGUACAAGUCAAAGGUGAAAUCCCUCGGCUCAACUGAGGAACUGCCUUUGAAACUGUACGGCUUGAGGCCGGGAGGGGGUAGCGGAAUUCCCAGUGUAGCGGUGAAAUGCGUAGAUAUUCGCAAGAACACCAGUGGCGAAGGCGGCUCACUGGCCCGGUACUGACGCUGAGGCACGAAAGCGUGGGGAGCAAACAGG
This 253-nucleotide ribosomal RNA is filed under the name uncultured bacterium. RNAcentral describes it as "partial 16S ribosomal RNA". It matches the Rfam family "Bacterial small subunit ribosomal RNA", at positions 524 to 776 of the family's 1533-position model. The record is from RNAcentral.